UCUGGGAUCAGUGUGUUCACACCUGCAGCUACAACAAGGUUUCAUGUCUCCACACGUCAGCAUGUGAACUUUACUCUGACUCAGUCUGAGCAGUCAGACGGCAUAUUUUUAAAGUUAACACAUCAGCACACACAGAGCUAAGCUCCUCCCACCUGUGCUGAGCUUCAGGUGGAGUCCCGCCUCCUUCCAGGAAGCAGCUCACCUGUGUGUCCGUGUUUAGUGUCCAGGGCCCUGUUUCAGAAAGCCGGUUUAGUGCAAACUCUGAGUAAGUAUACCCUGAGUUAACGAAAACUCUGGGUUUUCGGUUUCACAAAGCGAGUUUAGAUUAAUUCUGAGUGAGUUACUAUGACGACACACUCCGUGAAGCUAACCUGCCCCCUAGCAGGUUUACUUCAACUAACCCUGACUUUCUCCGCCUCUUUGUCGGAAACCUGACUGUAGGAAGUGUCAGACAUGGCGUGCCCCUUCCUUGAAGAGCCAGUAGAUGUUGAAGCCCAAAUUCUCCGCAGAGCUCUCCGCCGGGAGAGAGUGAUUAGAGCGCGUUUGGACAUUUUAUCAUUUCCUGAUGAUUUUCUGUGUGAACGUUUUUUUUUUUUUUCAGCACAAUCUAUAAUUUAUUUGAAUAUCAUCCUCAGGCCUUAUAUUGCUCAUGUGACACAUCACGGACAUUCUCUCAGUUCUGUACAUAAUAUUUGUAUUGCACUUCGUUUUUUGCAAACGGGAGCUUUCUGUAUAAUAUUGGUGACGCUGAGCACGUUUCCAAGGCUACCGUCUGUCGGGCAGUCAGGAAUGUUACAGUUGCACUGAAACGUCUCCUGUACUCGUUUGUGGUGUUCCCCGGUCACAGACCCACAAGAUUUAUCAAAGAGGGAUUCCACAAAAUUGCAGGGUUCCCAGGCGUGAUUGGCUGUAUAGAUGGCACUCACAUUCCAAUCAUUGCUCCUUCAGUAAAUGAAGGAGACUAUGUGAACAGGAAGUCUUUCCACAGCAUUAAUGUACAGGUACAUAGUUCCCUGUAGCAUUUCAAACUAACAAAUUAUUUCAUUAUAGUAAUGGAGUAUAGUAAUUUACCUCUUAUGUA
This is a long non-coding RNA of Oreochromis niloticus (Nile tilapia), 1081 nucleotides long. RefSeq lists it as uncharacterized. The transcript is spliced from 2 exons. The record is from RefSeq and is a predicted model, not a curated record. NCBI's taxonomy places the organism in Eukaryota, Metazoa, Chordata, Actinopteri, Cichliformes, Cichlidae.